Molecule: non-coding RNA, 1128 nt
Organism: Chiloscyllium plagiosum (whitespotted bambooshark)
Lineage: Eukaryota; Metazoa; Chordata; Chondrichthyes; Orectolobiformes; Hemiscylliidae
Source: RefSeq, a predicted model, not a curated record
UGUGUAUGAGGGUCUGUAUGACUGUGUGUGUGUGUUUGCAUAAGAGAGUGUGCAUUUGUCAGUGUGUGAGAGUGCAUAGCGUGGUAAAGUCACCUGUAGAGUGACAUGAACUCAAAACCACGCUUGAGGCCUUCCUCAUGGGUGGGUAUCAGCCUUGGCUAUCAGUUUCUGAUCGGAAACUCUACGUUGUUGCAUACCCUGAAGUCUACCUUGGAGGACGGUUGGCUGAAGAUCCAAAGCUGAAUGUCCUUGACCACUGAAAAGAUCCCCCCUGGGCACAUCCCUGUCUGGUGAUUGGAUGAAUGGACACUAUGCAACAAUGUCAUAACAGCUGCAUAGUUUCCCAAUAUACUCUGCCUCAGGUGAAUAGGUGUUAAGACAAUCAAGGUAAAUGGCUUGUAUAUCUGUCUGGCCUGAUCCAAUGUGUCGGUGAAUUCAUGGUGUUGCCAUGAGUCUACUGGCUCUUGGCCUUCUAGGUGAUAGCGGUGACAGGUGUGGGGGUGCUAUUUCAGACACUUUGGUGUUUACUUCUGAUUUAUAAGCAAAUAUUUUCACCAAAAAGCACUUUUUCUUUUUAGGCAGUAACUUUUUGGAAAUUAAGUUUAUAACUCUGCAUGCUUUAAAUUCGGUAACCUUUCAAAAAAGAGACAACAUUAAGACAUUUGCCUACAAAGAUACUGAUUAACUAUCGAGGCCAGGAAGGCAAAUUGCUGGAUCAGAAAACGAAUAUUUUGAUCUCCACCAAAACACUCAGCCUGAAGUUCGGAACAAAUACUUAUCUUUACUGAUAAUAUAUAUUAAAAUCAAGGAAGCCUUGGCAAAUGAUUAACAAGUUAAAACAAAAAAAACUGAAUAAUCUGCGCAAACGCAUCAGCUUCUGACGAAAGUUCAUGACCUAAGCGGGGAACUUUACUUCUGUCUCCGCAGGUACAGCCGGAUUUGUUUCAACUGAGAUGUUACAGUGUGUGCAGGAAGUCUGCGAAUUCCUGAGAAAGAGGGAAACAAGUUCUUGAGGAGUUUAGAGAACGGGCAAGGGCAGCUCUCCCCGGGAACUUUCACGUUGUCAGCAGCACUCCGUGAGGGCUGGACCUUCCCUGGAGCACUCAGUGCAAAGAAACUGCUUCAAAU